AGUGAACGCUGGCGGUAGGCCUAACACAUGCAAGUCGAACGGCAGCACAGUAAGAGCUUGCUCUUACGGGUGGCGAGUGGCGGACGGGUGAGGAAUACAUCGGAAUCUACUUUUUCGUGGGGGAUAACGUAGGGAAACUUACGCUAAUACCGCAUACGACCUACGGGUGAAAGCAGGGGAUCUUCGGACCUUGCGCGAUUGAAUGAGCCGAUGUCGGAUUAGCUAGUUGGCGGGGUAAAGGCCCACCAAGGCGACGAUCCGUAGCUGGUCUGAGAGGAUGAUAGGCCACACUGGAACUGAGACAGGGUCCAGACUCCUACGGGAGGCAGCAGUGGGGAAUAGUGGACAAUGGGCGCAAGCCUGAUCCAGCCAUACCGCGUGGGUGAAGAAGGCCUUCGGGUUGUAAAGCCCUUUUGUUGGGAAAGAAAAGCAGCAGGUUAAUACCCCGCUGUUCUGACGGUACCCAAAGAAUAAGCACCGGCUAACUUCGUG
This 492-nucleotide ribosomal RNA is filed under the name uncultured bacterium. RNAcentral's name for it is "partial 16S ribosomal RNA". It matches the Rfam family "Bacterial small subunit ribosomal RNA", at positions 29 to 507 of the family's 1533-position model. The record is from RNAcentral.